RNAcentral lists this ribosomal RNA (467 nucleotides) under uncultured bacterium. RNAcentral's name for it is "partial 16S ribosomal RNA". It matches the Rfam family "Bacterial small subunit ribosomal RNA", at positions 329 to 795 of the family's 1533-position model. The record is from RNAcentral.
GGCCAGACUCCUACGGGAGGCAGCAGUGGGGAAUAUUGCACAAUGGGGGAAACCCUGAUGCAGCGACGCCGCGUGAGUGAAGAAGUAUUUCGGUAUGUAAAGCUCUAUCAGCAGGGAAGAAAAACCGACCAUAGGGUCGCUAGACGGUACCUGAUUAAGAAGCCCCGGCUAACUACGUGCCAGCAGCCGCGGUAAUACGUAGGGGGCAAGCGUUAUCCGGAUGUACUGGGUGUAAAGGGGGCGCAGACGGCGAUGCAAGGCAGGAGGGAAAGGCCGGGGCCCAGCCCCGGGACUGCUCUUGGAACUGCGUGGCUGGAGUGCAGGAGGGGCAGGCGGAAUUCCUGGUGUAGCGGUGAAAUGCGUAGAUAUCAGGAGGAACACCGGUGGCGAAGGCGGCCUGCUGGACUGCAACUGACGUUGAGGCCCGAAAGCGUGGGGAGCAAACAGGAUUAGAUACCCCGGUAAAC